CCUACGGGGUGCUGCAGUGGGGAAUAUUGGACAAUGGGCGAAAGCCUGAUCCAGCCAUGCCGCGUGUGUGAAGAAGGCCUUCGGGUUGUAAAGCACUUUCAGUGGGGAAGAAAGCCUUGGGGCUAAUACCCUCGAGGAAGGACAUCACCCACAGAAGAAGCACCGGCUAACUCCGUGCCAGCAGCCGCGGUAAUACGGAGGGUGCGAGCGUUAAUCGGAAUUACUGGGCGUAAAGCGCGCGUAGGCGGUCUGAUAAGCCGGUUGUGAAAGCCCCGGGCUCAACCUGGGAACGGCAUCCGGAACUGUCAGGCUAGAGUGCAGGAGAGGAAGGUAGAAUUCCCGGUGUAGCGGUGAAAUGCGUAGAGAUCGGGAGGAGUACCAGUGGCGAAGGCGGCCUUCUGGACUGACACUGACGCUGAGGUGCGAAAGCGUGGGUAGCAACCAGGAUUAGAUACCCCAGUAGUC
Molecule: ribosomal RNA, 465 nt
Filed under: Vreelandella stevensii
Lineage: Bacteria; Pseudomonadati; Pseudomonadota; Gammaproteobacteria; Oceanospirillales; Halomonadaceae
Description: partial 16S ribosomal RNA
Rfam family: Bacterial small subunit ribosomal RNA
Source: RNAcentral